This 408-nucleotide ribosomal RNA is filed under the name uncultured bacterium. Its description in RNAcentral is "partial 16S ribosomal RNA". It matches the Rfam family "Bacterial small subunit ribosomal RNA", at positions 29 to 526 of the family's 1533-position model. The record is from RNAcentral.
AGUGAACGCUGGCGGCGUGCCUAAUACAUGCAAGUCGAACGGAUUGGCGCACGGGUGUGUAAUGUAUUGCUAAUCUGCCCUACACUAGAGGACAACAGUUGGAAACGGCUGCUAAUACUCUAUAGUGAAGGAUGAGGCUAUAUUGUAUCAGCUAGUUGGUGAGGUAAUGGCCCACCAAGGCGAUGACGUAUAACUGGUUUGAGAGGAUUAUCAGUCAGUCUGGAACUGUGUCACGGUUGAGAAUUCAGCGGGAUUUGGCAGUAGUGAGGAGUACAAAAUAGGGGAAACGCUGAGGCGUAUAGGCGGCGUGGGGGAUGACACUCUGCGGAGCGUAAACUCCUUGUUUUAGGGAUGCGGUACCUAACGAAUAUGCUCCGGCUAACUCCGUGCCAGUAGCCGCGGUAAUAC